GAUGUAGCCAAGUGGAUCAAGGAAGUGGAUUGUGAAUCCAC
RNAcentral lists this transfer RNA (41 nucleotides) under Chuquiraga weberbaueri. RNAcentral describes it as "partial tRNA-His". The record is from RNAcentral. Lineage: Eukaryota; Viridiplantae; Streptophyta; Magnoliopsida; Asterales; Asteraceae.